UAUAGAGCCUACUAACAUAAGACCAUACUGAAUAAUUUUAUAUAUGGAGUGAAGAUCUGUGCUACCUAAGAGUUAAAAAUACGACGAUUGUAAUAGCAUCAUAAUCACGAAACAUAGCAGUUAUGAUUAGUAUUGUUAGUCAAUCGUUCUAAUGUUGAUUUGCGCGAGAAGAAGAAGAAAACUCCAGCUGAAGCCAAUUUGAAAUUCAGACAGUUGUUUCCCCGAAAUGAUAACUGAUGCAGAAAUGCCAUCAUCAUAUCUUAAAACAAAGAUACAAUACAUUAACCAACGUACUGAAAGAAGCAAAUCUUCCUCUAAUAGUCGUCUGUCUUAAAAUGUUGCAGAAUCCCCUGCUGCUCAGUUCUUGCCUGCAAGAUCUUAAUAACUCACUACUUUUUAGUACCGGGAAAUAAUGCACAAACACUCUAGUUGCAACAUUUAGAGGCGCACGGAAAAGUCUUAUCCUUGUCCAGCAGAUCUAUUAUUCUAAGACGCAGAUUCAAAGCACAUACAUUGGGCAAUUAUCUACCAGAUUGAGAUUGAUUGAUGUGGAACUUGAAUUCCCUCCAACAUGAGUUUCUUGCCUAGAAUUAGCUUUAACUAUCUGUCUGUGCUGCCGAGUUUGAACCCUUUGUCUGCUCACCAUCCAUUAAGAUCCUAUAAGCAUAGAAUGCUGCCACCCCUCCACUGAUGGUGGCUGUAAUAAAAUUGAAAAUAAACGGUUUCUGCAACAUCAAGCGAAAUUCUCUGACAAAUAAGAUGGUAGCAAUGGCUGCCUGUCCCUUUAAAGCUAGUGAAGUCGAAUCUCCACUUCUCCAUGAUCGUAAACUUGAGAUGCUUAAGGCCAAAAGAGCACCUCCAAGUACAACACCAAAUCUAAGGGCAGCAGUGCUUCCACUUAGCAUGAAGUACAAAAAGCCACCAGCAGAAAGAAGAGUUCCGUAAGGUAUUCCCACAUAGAAGUCUCGCACUUUCGACACGUCAUUCAAUUCAUCUGCAGAGGAAACAAAUGUUUCAACAAUAUCCUUCACUGGUUCAGGUGAGCUCUCAGCAGCAGUGGUUAAAUAUUCUUUACUCUCCUCACUAAUUUCCUUUGCAAUUAUAGUCCAAUCUUCUCUUGCCUUAUCCGCUUGAAUUUUUAAUUUCUCAGAAGUUUCUUUCAAAAUGAUCAUAGCUUUAUCGGAAUACACCUCAUACGCUUCUUGUGACACAGCUUGCACCUUCAUCGCUUGUUCUUUGAAGGAAGCUAGGGUCUGUUUCCAGGCUUCUUCUUGCGCUUCAGCCUCCUCCUUAAGAUCAUUAUUGUCCUUCUCCAAUUCAACAUCUGAAGGCUUCGAUUCCUCAUGUGAAGCUGCGAAAGGGAGAAUCGUUGUAUUCCUAAAACUAUGUUGAGCCAAGGGAACCAAGCCGGUGCGGAAGCCAAAGCCAAGGCUAGCCUUGGAAACAGACCGAACAACAAGGGAAGUUCUUAUAUUACAGAGUUUCUGAGUGGAAGUAAGGCCUAGAGAUGUAGGAGUAUAAGAAAGCGCCAUUGGAGAAGCUUUGUUUAAGAGAGGAGAAAGGGCUAGGUUUAGGGUUUGUCAAAGUUUUUAUACAGAAGUGGGUAGAGGGAGGAGGUAGCU
RNAcentral lists this unclassified non-coding RNA (1622 nucleotides) under Hevea brasiliensis (rubber tree). Lineage: Eukaryota; Viridiplantae; Streptophyta; Magnoliopsida; Malpighiales; Euphorbiaceae. The record is from RNAcentral.